This is a long non-coding RNA of Scophthalmus maximus (turbot), 4039 nucleotides long. The record is from Ensembl. Lineage: Eukaryota; Metazoa; Chordata; Actinopteri; Pleuronectiformes; Scophthalmidae.
CGGUGCAAUUAAGCUUGUUGUUUCCCGAUUACAGCCGGUUUCCCGCGAACUCAAGCGGCCCUGGAGGAUGUCACACCGACUCCGGUCAUUGGUCAGGGGAAGCGGUGGGCGGAAACUCGUUGGUGAGUCAAGAUAGUUCACUGUAGCAUACUUCCGGUUCUUACGGGCCGAGUCGUUAUCAACGAUUUCUUGUGUUUUACCUCAAAGACCCCAAGAGAAGGGGGCGAACUGUCUUGACAGUCGGUUCACCAUCGCUUAUGAAAGAACAACCCCAGCAGUCAAUACAGCGCCAUCCUGCCGCCUUACUGUCGCCCCCACCAUCGUCAUGGAGACCAUACUCGUCACAAAGUCUGUCACCACCCAGUCACCAUGGCGCCCAACUUGGCCGAGACCCGACGGCGGCAGGGAGCACCUUGUCACCGUGGCAAAAAGAAACAGCAGCAGGGGAGAAUUCCCAUGCUGCUGGAGGUGAUGCUGCGGAGCAGCCGAGACAACCCACCAAUCACAGAGAGACAAUGACUGAUCUUCCUGGCCGCCUUACAGAACAUCAGUCAAACUGAGCUUUGUUAGCGCUGCAUUCCUGUGCAUUGUCCUCCUGUUUGCACUCUGCGACAAAACAAUGUUCAUUUCAUCUAUAUCACACGUGAUUCUAGGAUUUUCCUACUGUACACGCAUCCUUCCUCCGAUGCCGUAAUCUGUCCAUUUGUCUCAGGUGUGGUUUGACUAAAAGGUUUGAACACUGUUUUCUGUGGCAGCAGGAAUCAAUGGCCGCAGUCUACUUUGUGUGGGUCUGUCACAUUAGCACCGUGUUUUAAUUAAACUGAAGGAGACGUGCAGGAAGACAGGGGGACAAUGACUGAUCCCCAGGCUGCCGGACACGACGUUGUUCAGACAGAGCUUUGUUAGCACUGCCUGCCUUUGAAUUGUCCUGUCUACAACCGCUUAAUCAAAGGAUGCCAAUUAUAUCUCAGUCAUUUAGACAUAGAAUAUUAUGAACUACAUGACUGAUUAUUUGUCUUUGUAAAAACAUAGUUGAAACUCUACUCUGAUAACUGUGCAUAGUGCACAAACUGACCAGCCAAACCUUUAGCACUUACUUUAUGUAUUAGUGCAAGUGUGACAUUUUCCUUACAGUAUCAUAUUUGACAGCAGUUUGAGGGAUCAGUAUGUGUGAACAUUUGUUGGGAGAACACUUUCAGCCUAAUGAACAUGAAGAUACAAGCUGUCUCAACCAAACAACAUUAUGCCGAUGCGCAGGAGCGCGCAUGGACGAGGUGUAGUGCGACUUCUAAACUCAUUCAUGAAGUUAUCCGAGGAGAGGAGAGCCUAGACAGCAGGAGAAUGAAAAACUCGUUAAGCUAUUUUUUCUUCUUUCUUUUUUUCUUCUGGCAGACAAGCUCAGGCAACUGUGACUGUGUGUGUUUCUCUCUGUGUGUGUCCUGCCCUCUCUAUUCUGUAGACUGGCAGGGAAGUUGAUACGACUGAGAUAGGAAUGUCAGCGCAGGAUCAACACCCCUGCUGGUGGACACCAGUUGGGGGUCGGUCUCCUCUGGGACGCAUCUAAAUGUGUGUGUUUGAUAAGACAUGUGAAUAAGUGUGUGUGUGUGUGUGUGUGUGUGUGUGUGUGUGUGUGUGUGUGUGUGUGUGUGUGUGUGUGUGUGUGUGUGUGUGUGUGUGUGUGUGUGUGUGUGUUAUAGGGCCAGUGUCUGGGCCGUUUUGGGGGGAAGGGAGGUUAGAGCGGUGACAGGCUCAGCUGUGUUGAAUUGUGGGAGAAAAGAGCUGACGCGACGGGAGUUGAUGUCUGACAUGACCCCUCUCAGCAGGCACACCGCAGGGAGCUGGGAGCUGCCGCUGACUGAGUGUGUUUUUUGUGUCAACGUGUAUUUGUGUAAGUGGGAAAGUGAAGGAGAGACGAUGAGUUAUAAAGUGAGGAGCAACAACAACAGCAACAACAAAAAGGACGUUUCUUUUCGUCGCCCUGGUCCACUUUCACCACCAAUCCUGAUUUCUCUGACAUUCAGGGCAGAGUCCGGCUCUCCGUGAAACACCACCUUGAUGGAUGUGACACUGGACUUCUCCCGCGGUGUAACCCAAUCUUCUCCGGCCUUUCCUUCCUCCACCUUCCAUUUUCUCUCCCUCCAUAUCAUAUACCCCUCCUUGACCUUCUCGCUCUUUGUUGGUGUCCCCGUGCUCCCUCCUUCCCUCUCGCUCUGCCCUGCUCAGUCUCACCUGAGGCUUCAUUCAGGCUGGUAAAGUGAUCUUCGGGUCUAUGCUGCUGCGCUGCAGCUCGUUGUGCUUCCCAUUCAAAUCCAUUUCUCUUUGCCCGUUUUUGCGCUUCACAUUUUUUCCUGUCUCAUCUGUAUUUGUAUCGUCCGUCAAUUCUUUCUUUCCUCAUUUUCUUCCAUAUCAGUCAAAACAUACACACACACACACACACACACUCCAUCCCUUUCUAUUCACUGUCUCUCCUCUCUGGGUCCAGCACUUUGCCAUCAGUCUUCUGAUAAGUGCCCACAAAGCCCCCACUGUCUAGUGUGACCCUCUAUUCUUCUCCCAUCCUCUCUCUCUCCCUCUCUCUCUCCUUCUCUCUCCAUCCUGGAGCAGCCAAGCGUGAGGUAAAAGAGGAGGGGCAGUUUAUCUUGUGCACACACCCCAACUUGUUUUACCUUCACCCCUUCUUCUACUUUCCUCUCGUUCCCUCCAUCAAACUUUUUUGCCCUUACUCAUUUUAACUUCCAGCCACGACCUCUGCCUUUGAAGAACUUUCUGUCGUUCUUACUCUGGUCUCCGUCUGACUUUCCUCGGUCUGCAGGGAAGCCUUGCCCCUCCUCCCGCCCGCGCUCACAAUGGAUGCUGAUGCUUUUAAUGUGGGACAAUGGGGCAGAUCUGAAAGGUUAGCCAGCCCUUUGCACUGUAUCCCCAUGCACUCUCCACCCUCCACUGAUCCUUCUCUUUUCCCCCCACUGUCACCUACACCUGCCUCUCAUCUUGAUCCUUUAAUUCUUGUAAAUUUCUUAUUAUUUCUGUUUCUCCCCCUUACUGAUGUUGUUUCGGGAUCAUGUGCAAAAGGGAUGCAGCUAACAUGAAAAGCCUCAUGUGAUCAUACAUUUUGCUCGUAACAGAGAUCUGAUAACAAUAUGACCUAGUUCACGCCAACAAAAGAACUGCAUCAUCUCUAUAGUGAGAAUUUAAAAAAAAAAAAGCUACAGUCGGCCAACAAAAAAAGACGGACCCCCCAUAUUUUCCUGCAGCGCAAUGUGACAUCACCUGGCUGUGCAUCACAUGGGCCGAUCAUUUAUUGCAUGAUACAUUCAAGCAGAGGCACACUGGUGUACCAUUUAUGAACGUGUAAGACAACCUCAAAGAGGAGCCCGUCACAGUUGCUGAAUGAAAUGAUUUAGCCGUCAAACUCAUGGAUUUAUCACUGGAACUGAACAAUAGAGAUUUUUGAAAGUCACUCGACUCAUUCAGUCAGACUUUUCUUUUUUAGAACAAAUUUAAACUGCCUUCCAGAGUUUACACCACUGAAAAUGGCAUCUUUCUUCACCUCUGUUCGCAACCUAGUCCUGUCUGUGACUUCUUAUUUAAUAAAAAACUUUUUCAAGUUCAAGUUAUUUGUGCACGUGAAAUUAUUUUCUCUCUCGCUCCAAAUUCAAGUCUUGUCUUUCCCACCGUCUCUGCUUCAGCCCCCAGUCACUCCUGUCAAUCAGUGAACUAGUCGGUCGGUCGGUCGGUCCGCCGACCGUCACUCUGAACAUCUGAGUACUACUAAUGGAUCUCCUUGGCCACUUAACUGCCUAUCCUGCACUCUCUCUCUCUCUCUCUCUCUCUGAGUAUGAAUAGAAUAACCCUAAUGGUGCUUGUUUGCCACUCCACUGCUCUCCCUUAUCCUUGUAUGGCUUUAUCAUCGCUGAUCAGUGUACCUGGAGAUAAGUCUCUGUGUGAGGGUGCGGUAUCCUCUUCCUUGAGCUUUUAUCACUCCUGAUCAAUGUACCUGGAGUUCUCAGUCAGAGACCCCCUCCCAAAAGGUCAUGUUUUC